This 95-nucleotide transfer RNA is filed under the name Fidelibacterota bacterium. Its description in RNAcentral is "tRNA-Sec". It matches the Rfam family "Selenocysteine transfer RNA". The record is from RNAcentral. Lineage: Bacteria; Pseudomonadati; Fidelibacterota.
GGGAAUGAUUGAGUUGCUGGUGCUCUCCGCAGCCUUCAAAGCUGUUGUCCCCAUUAAUUUGGGGAGCUGGGUUCGAUUCCCAGGCGUUCCCGCCA